CACGCCGUAAACGUUGGGAACUAGGUGUGGGAGGUUUUGACUCCUUCCGUGCCGAAGCUAACGCAUUAAGUUCCCCGCCUGGGGAGUACGGUCGCAAGGCUAAAACUCAAAGGAAUUGACGGGGGCCCGCACAAGCGGUGGAGCAUGUGGUUUAAUUCGACGCAACGCGAAGAACCUUACCUGGGCUUGACAUGCAGGUAGUAGUGAUCCGAAAGGUGAACGAUCUCGAAUUAUAUUCGGGAAGCCUGCACAGGUGC
This 257-nucleotide ribosomal RNA is filed under the name uncultured bacterium. RNAcentral's name for it is "partial 16S ribosomal RNA". It matches the Rfam family "Bacterial small subunit ribosomal RNA", at positions 796 to 1041 of the family's 1533-position model. The record is from RNAcentral.